GAGAAAAAAAACCAACCAACCCCCCUCCUCCCCCCCCAAAAAAAACAAAAGGAAAAGGAAUAAUGAAGGUUUUGAGGUGCAAGGCGUGUGAGGGUGGUACGCGUCGCGUGUUUGCCCCUCAGCUUUCUGUAAUGGUUCUGUGCUGUCCGGAGCGAGAAGGCAGAGGCACUGGGUCCUCCGGAGCUGGAAUUACUGGCUGUUCUGAGACACCUGACAUGGAUGCAGGGAACCUAACUUGGGUCCUCUGGUAGAGCCAUCUCUCCAGCCACAACCGUGAAAGGUUUUUUUAAAGCAGUUCUCCAACUCAGACAAAUCAGAAGCAUCAGUGA
Long non-coding RNA from Mus pahari (shrew mouse), 329 nucleotides. RefSeq lists it as uncharacterized. The record is from RefSeq and is a predicted model, not a curated record. The transcript is spliced from 3 exons. NCBI's taxonomy places the organism in Eukaryota, Metazoa, Chordata, Mammalia, Rodentia, Muridae.